This 511-nucleotide small RNA is filed under the name Pongo abelii (Sumatran orangutan). RNAcentral's name for it is "processed transcript". Lineage: Eukaryota; Metazoa; Chordata; Mammalia; Primates; Hominidae. The record is from RNAcentral.
AUUCCCCCCGCAGACUCUUUGCUCAAGUACGACACCCCGGUGCUGGUGAGCCGGAACACGGAGAAACGGAGCCCUAAGGCUCGGCUACUGAAAGUCAGCCCCCAGCAGCCUGGACCUUCAGGUUCAGCCCCACAGCUACCCAAGACCAAGCUCCCCUCAACUCCCUGUGUCCCAGAUCCUACAAAGCAGGCAGAAGAAAUCUUGAAUGCCAUACUACCCCCAAGAUGAGUUGAUCCGGGAGGUCACCAUCAACUGUGCGGAGAGGGGGCUGCUGCUGCUGCGAGUCCGGGACGAGAUCCGCAUGACCAUCGCUGCCUACCAGACCCUGUACGAGAGCAGUGUGGCGUUUGGCAUGAGGAAGGCACUGCAGGCUGAGCAGGGGAAGUCAGACAUGGAGAGGAAAAUUGCAGAAUUGGAGACGGAAAAGAGAGACCUGGAGAGGCAAGUGAACGAGCAGAAGGCAAAAUGUGAAGCCACUGAGAAGCGGGAGAGCGAGAGGCGGCAGGUGGAG